This 517-nucleotide ribosomal RNA is filed under the name uncultured bacterium. Its description in RNAcentral is "bacterial SSU rRNA". It matches the Rfam family "Bacterial small subunit ribosomal RNA", at positions 8 to 518 of the family's 1533-position model. The record is from RNAcentral.
AGAGUUGAUCAUGGCUCAGAACGAACGCUGGCGGCGCGUUUAAGCAUGCAAGUCGAGCGGCAAGGGCCUUCGGGCCCCUAGAGCGGCGGACGGGUGAGUAACACGUGGACAAUCUGCCCCCCGGCCCGGGAUAGCCCAGGGAAACCUGGAUUAAUACCGGAUGAGACGGGACCCGCGAUGGCGGGAUCCGGGAAAGGCGCUGCGGCGCCGCCGGGGGAUGAGUCUGCGUCCCAUUAGCUGGACGCGGGGUAACGGCCCACCGUGGCGACGAUGGGUAGCCGGCCUGAGAGGGUGGACGGCCACAUUGGAACUGAGACACGGUCCAGACUCCUACGGGAGGCAGCAGCUAAGAAUCUUCCGCAAUGGGCGAAAGCCUGACGGAGCCGACGCCGCGUGAACGAAGAAGGCCGUGAGGUUGUAAAGUUCUUUUCGGGAGGGGAACAACCGUGGCAGGGAAUGGCCGCGGGAUGACGUGAAUCCCGGAAUAAGCCCCGGCUAACUACGUGCCAGCCGCAGC